CAACUUUCAACANCGGAUCUCUUGGUUCUGGCAUCGAUGAAGAACGCANCGAAAUGCGAUAAGUAGUGUGAAUUGCAGAAUUCAGUGAAUCAUCGAAUCUUUGAACGCACAUUGCGCCCCUUGGUAUUCCAUGGGGCAUGCCUGUUCGAGCGUCAUUU
This 158-nucleotide ribosomal RNA is filed under the name Rachicladosporium iridis. RNAcentral's name for it is "5.8S ribosomal RNA". It matches the Rfam family "5.8S ribosomal RNA". Rfam says of the family: 5.8S ribosomal RNA (5.8S rRNA) is a component of the large subunit of the eukaryotic ribosome. It is transcribed by RNA polymerase I as part of the 45S precursor that also contains 18S and 28S rRNA. Lineage: Eukaryota; Fungi; Ascomycota; Dothideomycetes; Cladosporiales; Cladosporiaceae. The record is from RNAcentral.